GGACCCGCACAAGCGGUGGAGCAUGUGGUUUAAUUCGAUGCAACGCGAAAAACCUUACCUACUCUUGACAUACUUGGAAGCUCUUGUAAUGAGAGUGUGCCUUUUGGAACCAAGAUACAGGUGCUGCAUGGCUGUCGUCAGCUCGUGUCGUGAGAUGUUCCGUUAAGUCGGAUAACGAGCGCAACCCUUACCCUUAUUUGCCAGCGAUUCGGUCGGGAACUAUAAGGGGACUGCCGGUGAUAAACCGGAGGAAGGUGAGGACGACGUCAAGUCAUCAUGGCCCUUACGAGUAGGGCUACACACGUGCUACAAUGGGGAAUACAGACGGACGCUAAGCCGCGAGGUGGUGCUAAUCCCAUAAAGCCAGUCUCAGUUCGGAUUGGAGUCUGCAACUCGACUCCAUGAAGCUGGAGUU
This 415-nucleotide ribosomal RNA is filed under the name uncultured bacterium. RNAcentral's name for it is "bacterial SSU rRNA". It matches the Rfam family "Bacterial small subunit ribosomal RNA", at positions 917 to 1333 of the family's 1533-position model. The record is from RNAcentral.